This 392-nucleotide RNase P RNA is filed under the name Actinomycetales bacterium. RNAcentral's name for it is "RNase P RNA component class A". It matches the Rfam family "Bacterial RNase P class A". From Rfam's summary of the family: Ribonuclease P (RNase P) is a ubiquitous endoribonuclease, found in archaea, bacteria and eukarya as well as chloroplasts and mitochondria. Lineage: Bacteria; Bacillati; Actinomycetota; Actinomycetes; Actinomycetales. The record is from RNAcentral.
CGAGCCGGACGGGCGGCCGCGUCGGGCGGGGUGACCCGCCCGCCGAGGAAAGUCCGGACUCCACAGGGCAGGGUGGUGGGUAACGCCCACCCGGGGUGACCCGCGGGACAGUGCCACAGAGAACAGACCGCCCGUCCGGACGGUCACCGACCGUCCGGACGGGCAAGGGUGAAACGGUGGUGUAAGAGACCACCAGCGUGCCGGGUGACCGGUGCGGCUCGGUAAACCCCACCCGGAGCAAGGCCAGACAGGGAGCGUUCGAGGGCUGCCCGCCCGAGCUCCCGGGUAGGCCGCUGGAGGGCGCCGGUGACGGCGUCCCGAGAUGGAUGGCCGCCGCCGAUCCCGGGUGACCGGGACCGGCACAGGAUCCGGCUUACAGUCCGGCUCGUCCG